Molecule: ribosomal RNA, 2902 nt
Filed under: Escherichia coli
Lineage: Bacteria; Pseudomonadati; Pseudomonadota; Gammaproteobacteria; Enterobacterales; Enterobacteriaceae
Description: bacterial LSU rRNA
Rfam family: Bacterial large subunit ribosomal RNA
Source: RNAcentral
UUAAGCGACUAAGCGUACACGGUGGAUGCCCUGGCAGUCAGAGGCGAUGAAGGACGUGCUAAUCUGCGAUAAGCGUCGGUAAGGUGAUAUGAACCGUUAUAACCGGCGAUUUCCGAAUGGGGAAACCCAGUGUGUUUCGACACACUAUCAUUAACUGAAUCCAUAGGUUAAUGAGGCGAACCGGGGGAACUGAAACAUCUAAGUACCCCGAGGAAAAGAAAUCAACCGAGAUUCCCCCAGUAGCGGCGAGCGAACGGGGAGCAGCCCAGAGCCUGAAUCAGUGUGUGUGUUAGUGGAAGCGUCUGGAAAGGCGCGCGAUACAGGGUGACAGCCCCGUACACAAAAAUGCACAUGCUGUGAGCUCGAUGAGUAGGGCGGGACACGUGGUAUCCUGUCUGAAUAUGGGGGGACCAUCCUCCAAGGCUAAAUACUCCUGACUGACCGAUAGUGAACCAGUACCGUGAGGGAAAGGCGAAAAGAACCCCGGCGAGGGGAGUGAAAAAGAACCUGAAACCGUGUACGUACAAGCAGUGGGAGCACGCUUAGGCGUGUGACUGCGUACCUUUUGUAUAAUGGGUCAGCGACUUAUAUUCUGUAGCAAGGUUAACCGAAUAGGGGAGCCGAAGGGAAACCGAGUCUUAACUGGGCGUUAAGUUGCAGGGUAUAGACCCGAAACCCGGUGAUCUAGCCAUGGGCAGGUUGAAGGUUGGGUAACACUAACUGGAGGACCGAACCGACUAAUGUUGAAAAAUUAGCGGAUGACUUGUGGCUGGGGGUGAAAGGCCAAUCAAACCGGGAGAUAGCUGGUUCUCCCCGAAAGCUAUUUAGGUAGCGCCUCGUGAAUUCAUCUCCGGGGGUAGAGCACUGUUUCGGCAAGGGGGUCAUCCCGACUUACCAACCCGAUGCAAACUGCGAAUACCGGAGAAUGUUAUCACGGGAGACACACGGCGGGUGCUAACGUCCGUCGUGAAGAGGGAAACAACCCAGACCGCCAGCUAAGGUCCCAAAGUCAUGGUUAAGUGGGAAACGAUGUGGGAAGGCCCAGACAGCCAGGAUGUUGGCUUAGAAGCAGCCAUCAUUUAAAGAAAGCGUAAUAGCUCACUGGUCGAGUCGGCCUGCGCGGAAGAUGUAACGGGGCUAAACCAUGCACCGAAGCUGCGGCAGCGACGCUGAUGCGUUGUUGGGUAGGGGAGCGUUCUGUAAGCCUGCGAAGGUGUGCUGUGAGGCAUGCUGGAGGUAUCAGAAGUGCGAAUGCUGACAUAAGUAACGAUAAAGCGGGUGAAAAGCCCGCUCGCCGGAAGACCAAGGGUUCCUGUCCAACGUUAAUCGGGGCAGGGUGAGUCGACCCCUAAGGCGAGGCCGAAAGGCGUAGUCGAUGGGAAACAGGUUAAUAUUCCUGUACUUGGUGUUACUGCGAAGGGGGGACGGAGAAGGCUAUGUUGGCCGGGCGACGGUUGUCCCGGUUUAAGCGUGUAGGCUGGUUUUCCAGGCAAAUCCGGAAAAUCAAGGCUGAGGCGUGAUGACGAGGCACUACGGUGCUGAAGCAACAAAUGCCCUGCUUCCAGGAAAAGCCUCUAAGCAUCAGGUAACAUCAAAUCGUACCCCAAACCGACACAGGUGGUCAGGUAGAGAAUACCAAGGCGCUUGAGAGAACUCGGGUGAAGGAACUAGGCAAAAUGGUGCCGUAACUUCGGGAGAAGGCACGCUGAUAUGUAGGUGAAGUCCCUCGCGGAUGGAGCUGAAAUCAGUCGAAGAUACCAGCUGGCUGCAACUGUUUAUUAAAAACACAGCACUGUGCAAACACGAAAGUGGACGUAUACGGUGUGACGCCUGCCCGGUGCCGGAAGGUUAAUUGAUGGGGUUAGCGCAAGCGAAGCUCUUGAUCGAAGCCCCGGUAAACGGCGGCCGUAACUAUAACGGUCCUAAGGUAGCGAAAUUCCUUGUCGGGUAAGUUCCGACCUGCACGAAUGGCGUAAUGAUGGCCAGGCUGUCUCCACCCGAGACUCAGUGAAAUUGAACUCGCUGUGAAGAUGCAGUGUACCCGCGGCAAGACGGAAAGACCCCGUGAACCUUUACUAUAGCUUGACACUGAACAUUGAGCCUUGAUGUGUAGGAUAGGUGGGAGGCUUUGAAGUGUGGACGCCAGUCUGCAUGGAGCCGACCUUGAAAUACCACCCUUUAAUGUUUGAUGUUCUAACGUUGACCCGUAAUCCGGGUUGCGGACAGUGUCUGGUGGGUAGUUUGACUGGGGCGGUCUCCUCCUAAAGAGUAACGGAGGAGCACGAAGGUUGGCUAAUCCUGGUCGGACAUCAGGAGGUUAGUGCAAUGGCAUAAGCCAGCUUGACUGCGAGCGUGACGGCGCGAGCAGGUGCGAAAGCAGGUCAUAGUGAUCCGGUGGUUCUGAAUGGAAGGGCCAUCGCUCAACGGAUAAAAGGUACUCCGGGGAUAACAGGCUGAUACCGCCCAAGAGUUCAUAUCGACGGCGGUGUUUGGCACCUCGAUGUCGGCUCAUCACAUCCUGGGGCUGAAGUAGGUCCCAAGGGUAUGGCUGUUCGCCAUUUAAAGUGGUACGCGAGCUGGGUUUAGAACGUCGUGAGACAGUUCGGUCCCUAUCUGCCGUGGGCGCUGGAGAACUGAGGGGGGCUGCUCCUAGUACGAGAGGACCGGAGUGGACGCAUCACUGGUGUUCGGGUUGUCAUGCCAAUGGCACUGCCCGGUAGCUAAAUGCGGAAGAGAUAAGUGCUGAAAGCAUCUAAGCACGAAACUUGCCCCGAGAUGAGUUCUCCCUGACUCCUUGAGAGUCCUGAAGGAACGUUGAAGACGACGACGUUGAUAGGCCGGGUGUGUAAGCGCAGCGAUGCGUUGAGCUAACCGGUACUAAUGAACCGUGAGGCUUAACCUU